This 497-nucleotide ribosomal RNA is filed under the name uncultured bacterium. Its description in RNAcentral is "partial 16S ribosomal RNA". It matches the Rfam family "Bacterial small subunit ribosomal RNA", at positions 28 to 507 of the family's 1533-position model. The record is from RNAcentral.
GAUGAACGCUGGCGGCGUGCCUAAUACAUGCAAGUCGAGCGAACAGACGAGGAGCUUGCUCCUCUGACGUUAGCGGCGGACGGGUGGGUAACACGUGGAUAACCUACCUAUAAGACUGGGAUAACUUCGGGAAACCGGAGCUAAUACCGGAUAAUAUAUUGAACCGCAUGGUUCAAUAGUGAAAGACGGUUUUGCUGUCACUUAUAGAUGGAUCCGUGCCGCAUUAGCUAGUUGGUAAGGUAACGGCUUACCAAGGCAACGAUGCGUAGCCGACCUGAGAGGGUGAUCGGCCACACUGGAACUGAGACACGGUCCAGACUCCUACGGGAGGCAGCAGUAGGGAAUCUUCCGCAAUGGGCGAAAGCCUGACGGAGCAACGCCGCGUGAGUGAUGAAGGUCUUCGGAUCGUAAAACUCUGUUAUUAGGGAAGAACAAAUGUGUAAGUAACUAUGCACGUCUUGACGGUACCUAAUCAGAAAGCCACGGCUAACUACGUG